Non-coding RNA from Pimephales promelas (fathead minnow), 2136 nucleotides. Lineage: Eukaryota; Metazoa; Chordata; Actinopteri; Cypriniformes; Leuciscidae. The record is from RefSeq and is a predicted model, not a curated record.
UUACUUUUAAACAACAGUAACAAGUAAUACCUAAUGUAUUACAGUUUGGAAGUAACUUGCACAACACUGCUCACAACAUAAUAGAACUUUUUCAGUCAGGUUUUAUGUGGAUGACUCGCAGCUGUACUUGCCUCUAUAAUCAAUACAGACUCAAUACAAGUCUUGAAUACAUCAAAAGGUGGAUGGCUAACAACUUUCUCCAGUUAAAUGGUGACAAGACAGAAGUCGUAAUUUUUGAGCUCCCAAGGCAAGAUGCACUGUAGUGCAAAAUCUAGGUCACCCCUUGUGUCAAACCCUAUGCCAGAACCCGGGUGUCAUCCUUGACCCAGAACUCUGCCUUGAUAAACAGAUUAUCUCUGUUGUCAAAAAUGUUUUUUACCAGCUCAGAAUGAUCUCCUGCCUAAAAUCAUUCCUAUCUCACAAUGACCUUGAGAAAGUUAUCCAUGCGUUUAUUACAGCACAGCUGGAUUAUUGUAAUUCCCUCUACCUUGGCCUCCCCCAAUCCUCACUUAGAUGUUUGCAGUUAGUCUAAAACGCAGCUGCGCGUCUUUUAACUGGCCAUUCUGGCCUCCAUGCACUGGCUCCCAGUUCUUUUUAGGAUUCAGUUCAAAGUUGUAUUGUUUGUUUUUAAGGCACUAAAUGGGCUGGCCCUAACCUAUAUUACUGACCUUGUACAGCCAUACUCAGUUCAAAGGUCACUAAGAUCCUCAAACAAAGGACUCCUGCAUGUGCCGUGCUCACGGCUCAGAGGGGUGAUAGAGCUUUUGCAGUUUCUGCUCCACGUCUGUGGAACCAGCUCCCCCUGGAUAUUAGAUCCCAUUCUGCCCUCAAAUCCAGGCUAAAACCCCAUUUUUAUUCCCUGGCCUUCCUUGUGCCCUAACCCUGCACUCCUGCUCAUUUCUUUGUACAUAUAUUUGUGUUCUGUGCUUCACUGUACAGCACUUUGGUCAGUUUUAUGCUAUGUGUAAAUGUGCUUUAUAAAUUAAAUGUACUAUUUACUAAACCUCUAUGCAGCAUAUUUAUCUAUCUUUAAACCAAAUUUGUGUCUCCAGCCGACAAAGGCUAGAGCGCAAAAGGCUAGAGCGCAAAAGGCUAGAGCGCAAAGGGCUAGAGUCGCCGGUCUUUUAUGGCUGUUUGACUGCCUCUGGACUUCUAACCCAAAAAGUUUUAGACCCCGUUUACACUUAUUUAGUGUCGUCCACUUGUUAUCCGAUUGACAAACACAUCUUAAUACCAGGUGUAAAAAGAGCCCUAGAGAGCAAAUGGCAAAAACAGAAGAAGAGGUAAUCUGUUUCUCAAAUUUAAUCUUAAUUUCUCAAAAUAUCUUUUAUGUUAAUAUAGAACAAAGUCGUACAGGUUUGUAAUGAUAUGUAGGUGAGUAUGUGGCUGAACGGUUUACUUUCCAUCUCAGAAUUGGAAAUGUAGUUUAUAAUAUGUGGAAAUAUCUAUCUUCUGAAACUUGAGAUCUAAUUUAAUGCCUCCAGUAGGAUUUUUUGGGGGAAUCCCUAAACACCUGAAUUUCCUAGAGUCAUGUGAUUUUCCUCAAGGGUGUUGCAACAAGCACUUGUUCACAUUACCUGAGUAUUUAUAAGAACUUGGGUUAGUGCCUGUCCUGACAUGACAGUGUUUUGACUUCUCACGAAGUGCCUACACUGGAAGUUUGUAUCAAAGCUGUCUACACAGCAAAUGAGCAACACUGCAUGCCCAGUCGCUUACAGUGAAGACAGGUCUCCAUGUGCAUGACAUGAAAGUUUACAGAUGAAAUAUUCAUGGCACGUUCUCAAACAUCAUGCCUCUAACCUGUGAUAUUGUGCAAACGUGGUGUUAACGUCAUCAUUGGCAGUGAGUAACUGCUCUAUGAGCGGCUCCUCUGUCAGUCGGGGUAUGAGCUCCACCAUCCGGCCCUGCAUGUCCUUGCUCAUGGAGUACAGCUGCUACUGACCGCCAGAGAGAGUAGAGAAACAGCAACAGGCCAUCACAUUUAUACACUAGAGGAUGAGUGUGUACAUGCAGGAGAGAGUAAGAGUGUGUGUUUGAGUCCCAUUCCAACCUGUAGCAGCUCUGUGUCCGUCGGCUCGAGACUUCCAGGCUCCAUCUGACUCAUCAUGUCUGACAUCACAGAUAUAUUAUUACGCA